GUAAGUGUAGUCAAGUGGAUAUGCCUGACUGGAAAGAAUAUUGUUUGUUUGAUAGGAGCUAACUUUUUGUUUUUGCUGAAUGUUUGAAAUAAAGUAGUAUUCUUUCUAUUUAUUAUAACCACAUGAUAAUAAAUAAAUUUUUUCCGGUCUUGAAAACCGGCGACCCGAAAGGGUUCCAGAGUUCGAAUCUCUGCGCUUCCGCCA
RNAcentral lists this transfer RNA (204 nucleotides) under Salmonella bongori. Its description in RNAcentral is "tRNA-Ser(tga)". RNAcentral also lists the same sequence under 4 other names. The record is from RNAcentral. Lineage: Bacteria; Pseudomonadati; Pseudomonadota; Gammaproteobacteria; Enterobacterales; Enterobacteriaceae.